This 332-nucleotide ribosomal RNA is filed under the name uncultured eukaryote. RNAcentral describes it as "partial 18S ribosomal RNA". It matches the Rfam family "Eukaryotic small subunit ribosomal RNA", at positions 1470 to 1796 of the family's 1831-position model. The record is from RNAcentral.
CCCUUAGAUGUUCUGGGCUGCACACGUGCUACACUGGCAGGUUCAGCGAGCUUCAUGCCCUGAUCUGAAAGGAAUGGGAAAUCUUUUCAAAACCUGCCGUGCUUGGGAUAGAUGUUUGCAAUUAUUCAUCUUCAACGAGGAUUGCCUUGUAAGCGCACGUCAUCAGCGUGCAUUGAAUACGACCCUGUAUUCUGUACACACCGCCCGUCGCUCCUACCGAUUGAAGUUUUCGGUGAGUUGACAGGAGGAUUUUUUUGAAACUGGUUCGCCAGUGGAUGUUAGAUCCAAAUGCCAACGAAUCGAUGGCUUUAGAGGAAGGAGAAGUCGUAACA